This 17-nucleotide ribosomal RNA is filed under the name Fomes fomentarius. RNAcentral's name for it is "partial 18S ribosomal RNA". The record is from RNAcentral. Lineage: Eukaryota; Fungi; Basidiomycota; Agaricomycetes; Polyporales; Polyporaceae.
CCGUAGGUGAACCUGCG